RNAcentral lists this long non-coding RNA (502 nucleotides) under Trifolium pratense (red clover). RNAcentral describes it as "long non-coding RNA (TPRA_LNC011353)". Lineage: Eukaryota; Viridiplantae; Streptophyta; Magnoliopsida; Fabales; Fabaceae. The record is from RNAcentral.
AUUAGCAAGCUACUGAGCUUAUACAUACACUUGCAGUCCCCAAAACACAGCAGUGGGGAUUUAAGUUUUUUUGAAAAGUUAAAAUAAAAUAUACUUUGAUUUUCUUUUUCCUCUUUGCUUUCAAGUUUCAACUGUGUUUGAAUUUGGGAUUUUUGAGGAAUGUGGGGGUGAUAUUAUCAGAUAACUGAUAAACUUAAAAUACAACUGAAAGCUUUUGAAUGAAAGAAGUUGCAGGCAGCUUGGCGCGGUGGUUUGCAUGUGUCUGAGGCUCCGCGAGUUGAGGGAGCUGAUCAAUGGCGGAAGAUGCAUCAAUGAUUGAACAAGAGAAUCCAUCAAAAAAUUCAAGCUGAGAAAAAAGUAUGAUGCAAGGAAAUUGGAGUUUGAAGUUACCUUCAUAGAAUGGUUAUCAUAGAAUUACGACGCUUCCUCUUGCGUCUCGCAUUCUGCAAAAUUCUCUUGGUUUCUUCCUCUUCUUCCUUGGUCAAAUUUCCGAACAGGUCUG